This 285-nucleotide long non-coding RNA is filed under the name Ananas comosus (pineapple). Its description in RNAcentral is "long non-coding RNA (ACOM_LNC002621)". The record is from RNAcentral. Lineage: Eukaryota; Viridiplantae; Streptophyta; Magnoliopsida; Poales; Bromeliaceae.
GUGUAAUAAUUGUUUGGCUUUUAUUGUACUGUUUUCAUUUUUAAUAAAAAUAAAAAAAUUACCGACCAUCUCUAGAGCAAGUGGCAAAAAGCUUGAUGGUUGGUAUUCGAAACCCAAGUUCGAAUCCUAGUUGAUUCACAUUUCCAGCUAAGUUUAUUUCUAAAUGAAAUAAACGAAGCGAAUAGAGUGCUACCUAUCUCUAAAAAAAAAAUUAAAAAAAAAUGAAAAAAUUCUCACUUCGCCAAAAUAUUUGUUUUCUUUAUACUCUGUAUACUCUGUUUUUAC